Molecule: long non-coding RNA, 1042 nt
Organism: Bactrocera dorsalis (oriental fruit fly)
Lineage: Eukaryota; Metazoa; Arthropoda; Insecta; Diptera; Tephritidae
Exons: 2
Source: RefSeq, a predicted model, not a curated record
GGAAUCCACGGUAUUUGGAUUUCUGCCGUAGAAACGUGUCAGCUGAUUGCUCCUCACAACGCAGGGUUGCCAAUCUCAAUAUACUGUAGUAAUUAUAAAAGUUGUCUUCAAUAUGUUUGAAAUUUUGUUAAAAUAAAUCAAAAUCAGAGUCGAAUGCUAUUAUUUAUAAAUAUAUAAACUAUUCUUAAUAGUUUGUUUUCAGUUUUGAUAUUUUAUAUUAUAAAAAAUUGUAAUUGAAAACAUAGAUGUGUACAAAACUCUAUAUGCGUAUUGAGCAAUGGCAACAUUGUUCAAAUGAAAACAAACAAAGACGGCUGAUUAUUGCGUUUUACCACAUUGUGUCAGCAGCAAUAUGGAAGUAGACAAUAUUGAAUAUGAAAUGUUUUUAGAGUUGUGCGAAUUGUACUCUUUAUAUGCUUUAUAUAAAAAGUAUAAAAGCCGAAAAGGAAAGAGAAGAUAUAAAAUGCGCCCAAUCAAUAAAAACUAGGGCUUUUGUGAUUACAAGUUAAAACUUUUCUAGUAAUAAAAAACAGCGAACCAGAACAACAUUUUUUGCAUACAAGGAUGCCUGCGGACGUCUAUAAUUUGCUCCUGAAUUUAGUAUGGAAAUCCUUGAAAAAGACAAGUAUUCCAUUCGGCCAUGCAUUAAUACAAAACACUCUGCUUUUGCCAUCACCUGUGCCACUGUCUGACGUGUCACCGGAACCUUUUCCUUACUUUUUCGUUGAAGAUGCUGCAUUCCCAUUACGAAGUCAUUUAAUGCGCCCGUUUCCCGGAGCUAAUCUAACCAACACGAAACGUAUUUUCAAUUAUCGAUUGUCACGCGUAGAGGUCAUUCAAAUGCGUUUAAAUUUCGGGAAAGACUUGCUAACUAUUUUAUAAAUGAAGGAUCUGUACCAUUCCAGAACAAUGUAGACGUUUCACAUUAUUAGAAAUAAUUACCAAUUUUUUUUAAUUCAUGAAUUCAUUUAUUUAAUUUUUUUUCAUAAAAACGAAAACAUAUAUGUAAAUAAAACUAAAAUAAUAAUUUAAAAAUAACUAA